CCUACGGGAGGCAGCAGUAGGGAAUAUUGCACAAUGGGCGAAACCCUGAUGCAGCGACGCCGCGUGAGUGAAGAAGUCCUUCGGUACGUAAAGCUCUAUCAGCAGGGACGAAAAUGAACGUAACUGAGAAAGAAACCACGGCUAACUACGUGCCAGCAGCCGCGGUAAUAAGGAGGGGGCAAGCGUUAUCCGGAUUUCAUGGGUGUAAAGGGGGCGUAGACGGUGCACCAAGUCUGGAGUGAAAUGCCGCAGCUUAAAUUGUGGACUGCUGUGGAUACUGGCGAACUAGAGUGCGGUAGGGGUAAGGGGAAUUCCUGGUGUAGCGGUGAAAUGCGUAGAUAUUAGGAGGAACACCGGUGGCGUAGGCGCUUUACUGGACCGUAAUUGACGUUGAGGCUCGAAAGCGUGGGUAGCAAAUGGGAUUAGAUACCCGAGUAGUC
RNAcentral lists this ribosomal RNA (440 nucleotides) under uncultured bacterium. Its description in RNAcentral is "partial 16S ribosomal RNA". It matches the Rfam family "Bacterial small subunit ribosomal RNA", at positions 338 to 795 of the family's 1533-position model. The record is from RNAcentral.